AUGCUUUUGUUUAUGAAAAUAGAUUAUAAUUGGUGUUCUUUAACUUCUUUUUUCCUGGAGGUAUUCUUUAAAUUUACUCUGUAAUAAAUUUAUUUGAUGCUAGCGUCUUCACCACAUUCAAGAUAUCUAAAUUUUUUUUAAUUCAGGUACAUACUUAGACCGCUUAAUUUUAUUCGAUUUUGGUCUUCAUAUGUAUUUAUUAUGUUGUUGUUGUAUUGGUCUUCAUAUGUAUUUAUAACUGCUUGACGAUUAUUUCGGAGUGCUAAGCUGCAGACAUGACGACUCAUAAACUGAGAGCCACAAAGGAAAUACUCCAACCAUGAAACCAUAAUUACGAUGUGAUAAUUUAUUUAGGUUGGUGAUUGGAAGAAAACGAGGAAGUAAAUGGUGAUGAAGACAGCAAAGAGGAGGAACAAACAUGGAAGGAAAAAUUGAUACGAAAUUAAGCAACUUGAAUUCGAUAGUAACAAUACACCUUGUAUGGACUUUAAAAAAAUUCUAUGGACUUAGAAUAAUACAUUGUUCACAAAUGUAGCUCCUGAAAAACUUAUUUUUCCCGUUUUCUCCUUUUGUAGCACUUUGUUUCUCAGAAGACAAACCUUGAAAUUUCGAUCUAA
Lycium ferocissimum is the source of this 617-nucleotide long non-coding RNA. RefSeq lists it as uncharacterized. The record is from RefSeq and is a predicted model, not a curated record. The transcript has 2 exons. Lineage: Eukaryota; Viridiplantae; Streptophyta; Magnoliopsida; Solanales; Solanaceae.